GAAAGCACGACAUUGCUCACAUUGCUUCCAGUAUUACUUUAGCCAGCUUUAAGCUGGCUUUUUUUU
This is a non-coding RNA of Kluyvera ascorbata ATCC 33433, 66 nucleotides long. The record is from Rfam. Lineage: Bacteria; Pseudomonadati; Pseudomonadota; Gammaproteobacteria; Enterobacterales; Enterobacteriaceae.